This 253-nucleotide ribosomal RNA is filed under the name uncultured bacterium. RNAcentral's name for it is "partial 16S ribosomal RNA". It matches the Rfam family "Bacterial small subunit ribosomal RNA", at positions 524 to 776 of the family's 1533-position model. The record is from RNAcentral.
UACGGAGGGAGCUAGCGUUGUUCGGAAUUACUGGGCGUAAAGCGCACGUAGGCGGCUUUUUAAGUCAGGGGUGAAAUCCCGGGGCUCAACCCCGGAACUGCCCUUGAAACUGGAGAGCUAGAAUCUUGGAGAGGCGAGUGGAAUUCCGAGUGUAGAGGUGAAAUUCGUAGAUAUUCGGAAGAACACCAGUGGCGAAGGCGACUCGCUGGACAAGUAUUGACGCUGAGGCGCGAAAGCGUGGGGAGCAAACAGG